RNAcentral lists this ribosomal RNA (254 nucleotides) under uncultured prokaryote. RNAcentral's name for it is "partial 16S ribosomal RNA". It matches the Rfam family "Bacterial small subunit ribosomal RNA", at positions 524 to 776 of the family's 1533-position model. The record is from RNAcentral.
GACGAACCGUCCAAACGUUAUUCGGAAUCACUGGGCUUAAAGGGCGCGUAGGCGGCCGAGCGGGUCGUGGGUGAAAUCCCCCAGCUUAACUGGGGAACUGCUUACGAUACCACUGCGGCUCGAGGAAGGAAGGGGCAAUGGGAACUGUCGGUGGAGCGGUGAAAUGCGUUGAUAUCGACAGGAACGCCUGUGGCGAAAGCGCAUUGCUGGUCCUUUUCUGACGCUGAGGCGCGAAAGCCAGGGGAGCAAACGGG